This 120-nucleotide ribosomal RNA is filed under the name uncultured bacterium. RNAcentral describes it as "partial 16S ribosomal RNA". It matches the Rfam family "Bacterial small subunit ribosomal RNA", at positions 28 to 144 of the family's 1533-position model. The record is from RNAcentral.
GAUGAACGCUAGCGGCAGGCUUAAUACAUGCAAGUCGAGGGGCAGCACGAAUAGCAAUAUUUGGUGGCGACCGGCAAACGGGUGCGGAACACGUACGCAACCUUCCCAUAACUGGUGAAU